UACGAAGGGUGCGAACGUUACUCGGAAUUAUUGGGCGUAAAGGGUGCGUAGGCGGCUUUACAAGUCUGUUGUUUAAUUUCCCGGCCUAACCGGGAGUCGGCUUCAGAUACUGUUUGGCUAGAGGAUGGAAGAGAGAAGUGGAAUUCUCGGAGUAGCGGUAAAAUGCGUAGAUCUCGAGAGGAACACCGAUGGCGAAGGCAGCUUCUUGGCCCAUUCCUGACGCUGAGGCACGAAAGCGUGGGGAGCAAACAGG
This 253-nucleotide unclassified non-coding RNA is filed under the name uncultured bacterium. RNAcentral describes it as "contains 16S-23S intergenic spacer region". It matches the Rfam family "Bacterial small subunit ribosomal RNA", at positions 524 to 776 of the family's 1533-position model. The record is from RNAcentral.